UUUGCGGACGGAGGAGGUUUUAUAUGUCUCAUGUGUUUAACUAUUUAGCCGGCUUUGAAACCUACGAGUGAAUCAACAGUCUUCAAUAAUAACUUUUUCUGCUCUUGUUCGGGAUUAUAAAGGAAUCGUUCAAACUGGCGGGGCAAAGGGACAAUCGGGAUCUGCUGAUUCCACUUUUCACGGAUGACAGCGGAAUUGAUAGUGAUGAUGCUGAACGAGCGCGUGCGCAACUUAACCUUCGUGGUUUACGUGGUUUAAUACAAUUGAUUGAAAGCAGUAGCAGUGAAGAAGAACCUGAGUUGAUGGAACCAUGGAUCCGAACGACAAAUAGGAGAUUUGAUGAGCAACUGAGAAAUAUGGAAGAGGGACGUUUCGAACGUGAGGUUCUUAUACCGUUGAAGCCGUGGAGGUCGUACAGCGAUGACGCGUCUCUCCCGAGCACACCAGAUAGAUCCUCGCCUCCUCUCUACGAAUUGGAACUGACGGCUUCUGAUGAAGACGACGACUCCGCCGUACUGGAGCUAGUGAUACCCGUCCAGACGAGGUAUAGAAUUGGAACUCCUCAAAACGGUAUCGGAGCCAGCAUCUUCUGCAGUCUCCAUUGCUGUUUUCGCAAUUGUUUCACGUGGUUAAAUUUUAUGUAACUUUUUUUAUCUCAACUACUUUUCGGAUAUUAGACCUAAAUGUGAAGCAUUAACUUUAAUGAUCCUUUAUCAAUUAAAGAUGUCAAGACAUAAAUUUCUCGUUGUUGUGAUCGGUUGUAUAGAUGUUAAGUAAGACUUUUGUUUAAUAAAAAAUAUGUAUGAGCUCUCCAUAAUAUACUAAUCAUUAACAGGAUGCGAGUGCCAAAAUUCUAUGACCUAUAACGAUAUUUUUUUUUAUCUUCGUUCAUGCGACGUAAUGGAAGAUUAAGAUAAAAAAAUCUUUGUUAUAAUUUUUAUUAUAUUUAUACAUAAAUAUAAUCUUAUUAAUAUGAGUAAUAUUAAAUAACAUAUUAUAUAUAUAUGUAUACAUAUUGUAAAACUAUUGUAAAAUUUUUAUCAAAAAUAAAGCAAACGUAAUAUAUCCCACCAAUAUUAGUUUUAUUUAAAUGAAUAAAACUCGCUAAAGUUUUAGAUCUCAUCAAUGAGUAGAUAGUUGAAACUUAAUACCAGGUAACGAUAAUUACAGUAAACGAAUGUAUAUCAUCUUUCAUUGAUUCAAAGAACUUAUCAUAUAUUGUAUCCCUACGCUAUAAAACAUUUGUUAUUUUAAUUCCGAUACUAAUAAAAUAUCUGUGUGUGA
This is a long non-coding RNA of Danaus plexippus (monarch butterfly), 1284 nucleotides long. RefSeq lists it as uncharacterized. The transcript has 4 exons. NCBI's taxonomy places the organism in Eukaryota, Metazoa, Arthropoda, Insecta, Lepidoptera, Nymphalidae. The record is from RefSeq and is a predicted model, not a curated record.